RNAcentral lists this microRNA precursor (66 nucleotides) under Cricetulus griseus (Chinese hamster). RNAcentral's name for it is "miRNA (ENSCGRG00000021834.1)". The record is from RNAcentral. Lineage: Eukaryota; Metazoa; Chordata; Mammalia; Rodentia; Cricetidae.
CAUUUCUAAUAUAUGUGUAUGUAUGUGUGUAUGUGUGUAUGUGUGCUCACACACAUACACACACAC